AUUAAGGUUGGGCCUAAGUCAUUCCUCCGAGGACCUUUGGACGAUUCAAAAGCCAAUAAGACGAGACCACGGCUCUACUGUGAACUUUCUGAUUGUCCAGCGGAACUACUUCACCCCCCUGAAGAUUGUAACGUGAAUUCCACAUUGCCCUUCACUCUUCAGGUGUCUCAUUAGCCAGAUUGACCACUAAAUUUGUCGAGUUGAAGAUUUGUUUCUGCAGAUUGACCACAUUGCUUGGCUUGUUUCAUGGGUCAGGGAUAUAUUUGUUUACCUAUCUGGUGCAAUUAGUGCUUCUGGUCUUGAUAAUUGAAGUGAUAUCGGGUUGAAAGCUAAGCGAUUGUGUAGAAAUGGUCAAGCGACCGUUGAAAAUUGAAGACUGAGAAGGCAUUUAGGAUUUUUAAUUAUUUAAUUCUUGUAUUAGAAUCUUUUUUCAUGUACUAUUGUAGAAUGUAUAUAUAAACAUAAUAUUAAUAUUUUA
This is a long non-coding RNA of Cucumis melo (muskmelon), 478 nucleotides long. RefSeq lists it as uncharacterized. Lineage: Eukaryota; Viridiplantae; Streptophyta; Magnoliopsida; Cucurbitales; Cucurbitaceae. The record is from RefSeq and is a predicted model, not a curated record. The transcript is spliced from 4 exons.